UGUAAGCGUAUACCAAAGUUGUUGCAGUUAAAUCGCUCGUAGUCGGAAUUUGGCAGUUCCGGAUGUGUGCACGUCGUGUGCGCACUUCGCGGGGAUUGCUUUUGUGGUCUUGCGUAGGAUGAGGCAUUUUUAUUAGUGAACGUCCUCACGCAACCACUUUUUACUGUGAGAAAAUCAGAGUGCUCAAAGCAGGCAUUUGCCGUGAAUGUAUUAGCAUGGAAUAAUAGAAUAGGACUUGGUUCUAUUUUGUUGGUUUGUUGGGACUGAGUAAUGAUUAAGAGGGACAGUUGGGGGCAUUUGUAUUUCGGUGCUAGAGGUGAAAUUCUUAGAUUACCGAAAGACAAACUGCUGCGAAAGCGUCUGCCAAGGAUGUUUUCAUUGA
Molecule: ribosomal RNA, 382 nt
Filed under: uncultured eukaryote
Lineage: Eukaryota
Description: partial 18S ribosomal RNA
Rfam family: Eukaryotic small subunit ribosomal RNA
Source: RNAcentral